GAUUAUGUGGAUAUAAAGAAAGGUUGUGUGAUGAUCCUCUUUAAUACAGAGUUCAAAGACCUAGAUGAUGUCAACACUGGAUAGGUGUUUAUGCAGAAUUUUUGCACAGAAUUUUCUUGUGGAAGAAGUGAGCAAAAACCAGAACUUGUGGGUGGUUACUGAGACUCUAGACGCCAUCGUUUAUCAUCUGUACCUGUUGUCAUGGAGAUCAGUGUGACAGACAUACUCCAGACCAUAUGGUACCACAGCUGACAGCUUAGAUUCAUCAACAGAAGCCCACCUUCUUAUCAGUAUGACAGCAAGGACAAAUCUGGUUCAGUUCAUCAAAUACAAGUAUUGGUCAUUAGAUUAACUUAGACCCCUUUCCAUACCUAGAUCGAUCUAGCAGGAUCGACCCAUCACCAGGGGAAUUUUCACUAAAUUUGAGUUCAGAUCAAGCAGCUUAGAUGUCUGGCACACCUACUGAACUUUACAUCAAUCGAAAUCAAGUGAAGUUCAAUGUGUUUAAUUCUGAAAAAUAAAAGAUAAUAUACAUAUCGUAAACUUUGAUGUUGUGAAAAACUCAAAAACUGGAAACAACUUAAAAACUGGAAUAGGGAAGAAAAGGAAGCCAAUGUUCAGAUUUUCACAUCAGAUUCUCGGAAAGUAAAUCUACUAAUUUCUCAGGUAAAAUAAUACAUUUACAGAAAAUAAAAAAAAUGGAGGGCAUCCGUAAUCCAGGGACAUCGAAUUUUUUCUGAACUAAAAAAUAAUGCUUUGAUUGUCUUUAUAUGUAUUUAUUUUAUACAGUAGUUACAUGUAGCAUGCAAUAAAGUGGCAUGGUAGGGUAUACGGAUAUGUAUGUAUGUAUGUGUAUGUUUUUGAGAAAUAUGUAUGUGAGAAGUGAUAUGUAUAGUAUUGUACAUUGUAAUGUUUAUUUUCAGUCUAAUUAAAGAAAAUAUACAUACA
Molecule: long non-coding RNA, 948 nt
Organism: Lingula anatina
Lineage: Eukaryota; Metazoa; Brachiopoda; Lingulata; Lingulida; Lingulidae
Source: RefSeq, a predicted model, not a curated record